This 253-nucleotide ribosomal RNA is filed under the name uncultured bacterium. RNAcentral describes it as "partial 16S ribosomal RNA". It matches the Rfam family "Bacterial small subunit ribosomal RNA", at positions 524 to 776 of the family's 1533-position model. The record is from RNAcentral.
UACGGAGGGUGCGAGCGUUAAUCGGAAUAACUGGGCGUAAAGGGCACGCAGGCGGGCUUUUAAGUGAGGUGUGAAAUCCCCGGGCUUAACCUGGGAAUUGCAUUUCAUACUGGGAGUCUUGAGUUCUUUAGAGAUGGGUAGAAUUCCACGUGUAGCGGUGAAAUGCGUAGAGAUGUGGAGGAAUACCGAUUGCGAAGGCAGCCCCCUGGCCAUGUACUGACGCUCAUGUGCGAAAGCGUGGGGAGCAAACAGG